AGCGAACGCUGGCGGUAGGCCUAACACAUGCAAGUCGAACGGCAGCACAGUAAGAGCUUGCUCUUACGGGUGGCGAGUGGCGGACGGGUGAGGAAUACAUCGGAAUCUACUUUUUCGUGGGGGAUAACGUAGGGAAACUUACGCUAAUACCGCAUACGACCUACGGGUGAAAGCAGGGGAUCUUCGGACCUUGCGCGAUUGAAUGAGCCGAUGUCGGAUUAGCUAGUUGGCGGGGUAAAGGCCCACCAAGGCGACGAUCCGUAGCUGGUCUGAGAGGAUGAUCAGCCACACUGGAACUGAGACACGGUCCAGACCCCUACGGGAGGCAGCAGUGGGGAAUAUUGGACAAUGGGCGCAAGCCUGAUCCAGCCAUACCGCGUGGGUGAAGAAGGCCUUCGGGUUGUAAAGCCCUUUUGUUGGGAAAGAAAAGCAGCAGGUUAAUACCCCGCUGUUCUGACGGUACCCAAAGAAUAAGCACCGGCUAACUUCGUG
This 492-nucleotide ribosomal RNA is filed under the name uncultured bacterium. Its description in RNAcentral is "partial 16S ribosomal RNA". It matches the Rfam family "Bacterial small subunit ribosomal RNA", at positions 29 to 507 of the family's 1533-position model. The record is from RNAcentral.